Molecule: long non-coding RNA, 830 nt
Organism: Rhinolophus ferrumequinum (greater horseshoe bat)
Lineage: Eukaryota; Metazoa; Chordata; Mammalia; Chiroptera; Rhinolophidae
Exons: 6
Source: RefSeq, a predicted model, not a curated record
AGCGCUCCUUGGCACUGGAACCCUCCUGGUCUGGUGAGGGAGGAACUACGGACUGUUCUGAGGCUACACAGGCAUCACCCAACACUUCCUCCGUUCAGACUGAGGAAAGAGCUUGGGCUGGGGCUUUGGAUUCCCGUUACCUAAGGAGGAUUCUGACUGUGUGAACAAAUCAGACGGGUCCCACGGGAACAGAAAGUUUUGAGGGAGUUGACUGUUUGUGCAAGAUGACUGGUUGGGUAAAGAAGUCCAAAGUUGAUUAUCUGCAGAACAAAUAAAGCCUGGGCAAAGACUACCACAUCUAGAGGUACCACAUCAGACUGAUGGAGAAGAUGGUGCAUCACCCAGAUAUUCUGGACAUUGACCUGGAAGUGGUGACUGGAUGGUACCUUGCAUUGUCCUCUUGGGGGGAGCUGGAAGCAAAGGACUCCACGAUGGAUGAGCCACACGAUGGAAGGAGCCCAACCUACACCAGAUGUCCAUGAGCUCCCGGUAUCCCCGGAAACUAGUCCUCCUCUCCGGAUUGCUGGCCACAUCUUCUCACUGAUUCCUCAAGAUGUUCAGAGUGAAGCCUCUCAGACCCCAAGGAAGGUGGAUCAAGAAAAGAAUGGAGAUCACUGCUCCCUUGACUCCUCCAAGGACCUGAACUUGAGAAGGUGCCUGAAGCCUCCAGAACUCUCGAUAAGGUGCUAAAGCUCACGCAGAAUGAAUGGGGUAGCCCCACAUGGAUGCUCUCACUGUGGGCAUCUCAGGUACUACAAAUGGAGUCUGACCCUGGUACCUUCCCUCAGAAUGACCCCUUUGCUCAGAAACCCUGGUACCUUCCCUCAGGA